Phacochoerus africanus (Common warthog) is the source of this 638-nucleotide long non-coding RNA. RefSeq lists it as uncharacterized. The transcript is spliced from 3 exons. The record is from RefSeq and is a predicted model, not a curated record. Lineage: Eukaryota; Metazoa; Chordata; Mammalia; Artiodactyla; Suidae.
GACUCGUGUGUACGGGGUAUAGUUCCUGGAAGGCAUUGCAAUUUCACGGGUCCUACCUGUUUGGCUGAGAAAUGAGAAGAGGCAAGUCAGGAGGAUGAAACAAAGCUCUCCACAUGCUUCACCUGGAUGCUGAAGAGCGCAGGAGUGAACACAUGAUGGGCAGAGUGAGAGCAGCUACUUCUCUGGGAGGAAACUGGCACAGAAAAGGUGACCUUGCCUAGGUGUUCAAGUGGCCAAGGAGAAGAUGGAAAUUCUAGGCAAUUCAACUUGCAGAGGCCAGAGCUAAACAUUACAUGGGUUGAUGUUAGAUGCUCAGGAACUGGAAAUCUGCCCCAUGGGAGAUAUGAAGGACAAAGGAGCACAAGAGUUAAGGAUAUUGAAAGAAAACAGAUGAAGUGCUGGUGCCUAAAAUCUAAAAGACAAAAACACAUUUUUUUAAAAAAAGACAGACAAUGGCUAUUUCUAUGUAUUGAGAUUUUUGGAUUUUUUUUUUUUAAAAGUUCUGUAUAUUUUCUGUAAUGCUCAACUAAAUUUUCCUGAGGCAAUGACCAUAACUAUCUUCCUGGCUGUAUCCUCAGAGCAUGGCAUGUAGGAGCUGCAAGAUAAAUAUUUAUUGAAUAAAUAAAUGUAUAAAUGCU